UAAACAGUAUUUGAGAAUAAGUCU
RNAcentral lists this non-coding RNA (24 nucleotides) under Arabidopsis thaliana (thale cress). The record is from RNAcentral. Lineage: Eukaryota; Viridiplantae; Streptophyta; Magnoliopsida; Brassicales; Brassicaceae.